CCUACGGGUGGCAGCAGUGGGGGAUAUUGCACAAUGGGGGGAACCCUGAUGCAGCGACGCCGCGUGGGUGAAGAAGGGCCUCGGCGCGUAAAGCCCUGGCAGCAGGGAAGAAAAGGACGGUACCGGAAGAAGAAGCCCCGGCGAACGACGUGCCAGCAGCCGCGGUAAUACGGAGGGGGCAAGCGUUAUCCGGAUUUACGGGGUGUCAAGGGGGCGCAGACGGCGAUGCAAGCCAGGAGUGAAAGCCCGGGGCCCCACCCCGGGACUGCUCUUGGAACUGCGUGGCUGGAGUGCAGGAGGGGCAGGCGGCAUUCCUGGUGUAGCGGUGACAUGCGUAGAUAUCAGGAGGAACACCAGUGGCGAAGGCGGCCUGCUGGCCUGCAACUGACGUUGAGGCCCG
RNAcentral lists this ribosomal RNA (400 nucleotides) under uncultured bacterium. RNAcentral's name for it is "partial 16S ribosomal RNA". It matches the Rfam family "Bacterial small subunit ribosomal RNA", at positions 338 to 755 of the family's 1533-position model. The record is from RNAcentral.